GAUGAACGCUGGCGGCGUGCCUAACACAUGCAAGUCGAACGGACUCAUACUGAAACCUAGUGAUUUAUGAGUUAGUGGCGGACGGGUGAGUAACGCGUGGAUAACCUGCCGUAUACCGGGGGAUAACACUUAGAAAUAGGUGCUAAUACCGCAUAAGCGCACAGUGUCGCAUGACGCAGUGUGAAAAACUUCGGUGGUAUACGAUGGACCCGCGUCUGAUUAGCCAGUUGGCAGGGUAACGGCCUACCAAAGCGACGAUCAGUAGCCGGCCUGAGAGGGUGAACGGCCACAUUGGGACUGAGACACGGCCCAA
RNAcentral lists this ribosomal RNA (313 nucleotides) under uncultured bacterium. Its description in RNAcentral is "bacterial SSU rRNA". It matches the Rfam family "Bacterial small subunit ribosomal RNA", at positions 28 to 334 of the family's 1533-position model. The record is from RNAcentral.